UAUAUUUCUUUAUUAUUUGACACGUGUAUUUGUUUAAUGGCCCUCUGCUCCACCAGUAUGGAAGCUCCAAAAGGAAAGAUACCAGAUUGAUCUUGAUCACCUCUGCCUCCCCAGCACCUAGUCUUCCUUGGCACAUCGUGAGUGCUCGGGUCAGGCUGUGCCACAUCCACCCAGCCUUGCCUGGGGUCAUUUAUCCUACAUGUACUCAGAUCACGUGAACUGGUGAUGGGCCACCCAUGUGCCUGCCUGGAGACUCCUAUUCACCCUUCAGAUCAAUAUCCCCCAAAUAAACUCCCAGUCACUCUGGCAUCCCA
RNAcentral lists this long non-coding RNA (314 nucleotides) under Homo sapiens (human). RNAcentral's name for it is "non-protein coding lnc-MAP1LC3B2-28:18". Lineage: Eukaryota; Metazoa; Chordata; Mammalia; Primates; Hominidae. The record is from RNAcentral.